ACGAACGCUGGCGGCAUGCCUAAUACAUGCAAGUCGAACGAACACUUCGGUGUUAGUGGCGCACGGGUGCGUAACGCGUGGGAAUCUGCCCUUGGGUUCGGAAUAACUUCGGGAAACUGAAGCUAAUAUCGGAUGAUGACGUAAGUCCAAAGAUUUAUCGCCCAAGGAUGAGCCCGCGUAGGAUUAGCUAGUUGGUGAGGUAAAGGCUCACCAAGGCUACGAUCCUUAGCUGGUCUGAGAGGAUGAUCAGCCACACUGGGACUGAGACACGGCCCAGACUCCUACGGGAGGCAGCAGUAGGGAAUAUUGGACAAUGGGCGAAAGCCUGAUCCAGCAAUGCCGCGUGAGCGAUGAAGGCCUUAGGGUUGUAAAGCUCUUUUACCCGGGAUGAUAAUGACAGUACCGGGAGAAUAAGCCCCGGCUAACUCCGU
This 431-nucleotide ribosomal RNA is filed under the name uncultured bacterium. RNAcentral's name for it is "bacterial SSU rRNA". It matches the Rfam family "Bacterial small subunit ribosomal RNA", at positions 29 to 506 of the family's 1533-position model. The record is from RNAcentral.